This 1498-nucleotide ribosomal RNA is filed under the name uncultured bacterium. Its description in RNAcentral is "bacterial SSU rRNA". It matches the Rfam family "Bacterial small subunit ribosomal RNA". The record is from RNAcentral.
AGGGUUUGAUCCUGGCUCAGGACGAACGCUGGCGGCGUGCUUAACACAUGCAAGUCGAGCGAUGAAACACCUUCGGGUGUGAAUUAGCGGCGAACGGGUGAGGAACACGUGAAGAAUCUGCCUUCAACUCUGGGAUAACUCCGGGAAACCGGGGCUAAUACCGGAUAUGAGCCUUGAUCGCAUGAUCGGGGCUGGAAAGUUUUUCGGUUGAAGAUGACUUCGCGGCCUAUCAGCUUGUUGGUGAGGUAACGGCUCACCAAGGCUACGAUAGGUAGGGGGCCUGAGAGGGUGACCCCCCACACUGGUACUGAGACACGGACCAGACUCCUACGGGAGGCAGCAGUGAGGAAUAUUGGGCAAUGGAGGAAACUCUGAUCCAGCCAUACCGCGUGUGUGAAGAAGGCCCUAGGGUUGUAAAGCACUUUAAGUUGGGAAGAAAAGUUAUUGGCUAAUACCCAAUGACCGUGACAUUACCUUCAGAAUAAGGACCGGCUAAUUCCGUGCCAGCAGCCGCGGUAAUACGGAAGGUCCAAGCGUUAAUCGGAAUUACUGGGCGUAAAGCGCGCGUAGGUGGUUUAUUAAGUUGGAUGUGAAAUCCCCGGGCUCAACCUGGGAACUGCAUCCAAAACUGAUUCACUAGAGUACGAUAGAGGGAGGUAGAAUUCACAGUGUAGCGGUGGAAUGCGUAGAUAUUGUGAAGAAUACCAAUGGCGAAGGCAGCCUCCUGGAUCUGUACUGACACUGAGGUGCGAAAGCGUGGGUAGCGAACAGGAUUAGAUACCCUGGUAGUCCACGCCGUAAACGAUGUCAACUAGCUGUUGGGGAACUAUGUUCUUCAGUGGCGCAGCUAACGUAGUAAGUUGACCGCCUGGGGAGUACGGCCGCAAGGCUAAAACUCAAAUGAAUUGACGGGGACCCGCACAAGCGGUGGAGCAUGUGGUUUAAUUCGAUGCAACGCGAAAAACCUUACCUAUACUUGACAUACUUGGAAUGCUUUGUAAUGAAGCAGUGCCUUCGGGAGCCAAGAUACAGGUGCUGCAUGGCUGUCGUCAGCUCGUGUCGUGAGAUGUUCCGUUAAGUCGGAUAACGAGCGCAACCCUUACCCUUAUUUGCCAGCGAUUCGGUCGGGAACUAUAAGGGGACUGCCGGUGAUAAACCGGAGGAAGGUGAGGACGACGUCAAGUCAUCAUGGCCCUUACGUAUAGGGCUACACACGUGCUACAAUGGAGAAUACAGACGGACGCUAAGCCGCGAGGUGGUGCCAAUCCUAGAAAAUUCUUCGUAGUCCGGAUUGGAGUCUGCAACUCGACUCCAUGAAGUCGGAAUCGCUAGUAAUCGCGAAUCAGCAUGUCGCGGUGAAUACGUUCUCGGGUCUUGUACACACCGCCCGUCAUACCAUGGAAGUGGAUUGCACCAGAAGUAGAUAGUCUAACCUUCGGGAGGGCGUUUACCACGGUGUGCUUCAUGACUGGGGUAAAGUCGUAACAAGGUAACCGUA